UGGGGAAUAUUGGACAAUGGGCGCAAGCCUGAUCCAGCCAUGCCGCGUGAGUGAUGAAGGCCUUAGGGUUGUAAAGCUCUUUUGUCCGGGAAGAUAAUGACUGUACCGGAAGAAUAAGCCCCGGCUAACUUCGUGCCAGCAGCCGCGGUAAUACGAAGGGGGCUAGCGUUGCUCGGAAUCACUGGGCGUAAAGGGCGCGUAGGCGGACUUUUAAGUCGGAGGUGAAAGCCCAGGGCUCAACCCUGGAAUUGCCUUCGAUACUGGGAGUCUUGAGUUCGGAAGGGGUUGGUGGAACUGCGAGUGUAGAGGUGAAAUUCGUAGAUAUUCGCAAGAACACCGGUGGCGAAGGCGGCCAACUGGUCCGAAACUGACGCUGAGGCGCGAAAGCGGGGGGAGCAAACAGG
Molecule: ribosomal RNA, 404 nt
Filed under: Bacillota bacterium
Lineage: Bacteria; Bacillati; Bacillota
Description: Firmicutes bacterium partial 16S ribosomal RNA
Rfam family: Bacterial small subunit ribosomal RNA
Source: RNAcentral